AGGGUUCGAUUAUGGCUCAGAUUGAACGCUGGCGGUAUGCUUAACACAUGCAAGUCGAACGGAAACGAAACUAGCUUGCUAGUAGGCGUCGAGUGGCGGACGGGUGAGUAACGCGUAGGAAUCUGCCUGAUAGUGGGGGAUAGCCCGAAGAAAUUCGGAUUAAUACCGCAUAAUCUAUUCGUAGUAAGGUGGGGGACUUUCGAGCCUCACGCUAUCAGAUGAGCCUGCGUAAGAUUAGCUUGUUGGUAGGGUAAAAGCCUACCAAGGCAACGAUCUUUAGCUGGUCUGAGAGGAUGAUCAGCCACAUCGGGACUGAGACACGGCCCGAACUCCUACGGGAGGCAGCAGUGGGGAAUAUUGGACAAUGGGGGCAACCCUGAUCCAGCAAUACCGCGUGUGUGAAGAAGGCCUGAGGGUUGUAAAGCACUUUCAAUUGUGAAGAAAAGUCAACGGUUAUUAUCCGUUGACCUUGACGUUAACUUUAGAAGAAGCACCGGCUAACUCCGUGCCAGCCGCCGCGGUAAUUC
RNAcentral lists this ribosomal RNA (527 nucleotides) under uncultured bacterium. RNAcentral's name for it is "bacterial SSU rRNA". It matches the Rfam family "Bacterial small subunit ribosomal RNA", at positions 8 to 526 of the family's 1533-position model. The record is from RNAcentral.